GCCGGGCGUUGGUUGUCCCGGUGAGAGAGUUGAGGCGGUGCCCUUAGGCAAAUCCGGGGGCGCAACGUUGAGACUAAGGACCGGCCCAUUAGGGCUAGGCUGCUGAUAUCACGCUUCCAGGAAAAGCUCCUAAGCUUCAGCUUGAACAGACCGUACCGUAAACCGACACAGGUGGGUAGGAUGAGAAUUCUCAGGCGCUUGAGAGAACUCGGGUGAAGGAACUAGGCAAAAUAGCACCGUAACUUCGGGA
This 250-nucleotide ribosomal RNA is filed under the name Ditylum brightwellii. RNAcentral describes it as "partial Bacterial large subunit ribosomal RNA". It matches the Rfam family "Bacterial large subunit ribosomal RNA", at positions 1490 to 1741 of the family's 2925-position model. Lineage: Eukaryota; Bacillariophyta; Thalassiosirophyceae; Lithodesmiales; Lithodesmiaceae. The record is from RNAcentral.